CGUGAUCAUGCUUAUUUCUAAAAAGUCUAAUACAAAUUGCAAAAUUGAGGCAAAAGCAUAUUUAUAAAACAACAUAAAAUCAUGUCUUUCUAAUAAAUAAAAGAUAAACUUAGUCAACUAACUUUACAUUAAUUAGAACUCGGUAUUUGACUACUUUGAUUUAGGCCUUGAAUGAUAGCAGGGAGUUUAGCUCUCAAAAGAUCUUCUACUUGAGAUUGUAGAUUCACUUGGUGGUUGCUAAUUUGAGCUUCUAAAGACUCAAACCGAGAGGCCAACUCUUCAUUCUUUUUCUUCAACUCUUCAUUCUCCUUUUGCAAAUUGAGAUAAGUUUUUCUACAGGAAAUUGCAAUACAAGCGUGAACACGCCUUUUUCCAGAAAAAAAAUACUCCCUCCGUCCGCCAAAAGUGUACCACUUUGGCUGGGCACGGGAUUUAAUAAAAUUGGUGAUGAUUUUGAUGUAGUGGAGAAAGGGUCCCACCACUUUAUGGGAUGUGUGGUUGAGAUUGAAUUUGGGGUGGGUUUUAUUGUAAAUAAAGAGUGUUUGUAAGGAUAAAAGAUUAAAGUGGGUGGUGGGACCAUUUCCAUAAAAGGAAAGUGGUAUACUCUUUGCGGACGCCCAAUAUAGUAAAAGUGGUAUACUUUUGGCGGACAGAGGGAGUAUCAAAUUAUCAAAGAAACUAGAAAAUUACAAUACAAGCGCGAACACGCCUUUUUCCAAAAUAAAAGCAAUUAAACAACUAGCUCAAUAAACACAACAGUUAAAUUCUGGAGUCAAUAACAUUUAUUCCUCUAGGUUGCAAUGAAUAUAAUUUUGGAAUUCUCAAAUACUCUAAAUAGAGUAAUACACUAACAGCCCAUUCAUUUCACUAUAUAUAUAUGUAUAUAUAUAUAUAUAGAAUGAGACAUCUAGUACCCUAUGUGCCCAUCUCAACAUACUUCAUUUAAAUCUCUCUGCAUUUUUAUAAGAGACUUGUUAAAUUUACUCAAAGAAGACAAUGAACAUGAAACACAUGCUAGCUUAUGGAUACAGAUUUUCUACGCAAUUCACAGCACAAUUUUAGAGAACAAGUAACAACAAACUAACACAGCCACCUUCUCGAGCAUGGACCUCAAGAAAGGAGAGUUCUCACUUUUUUAUGCAGAUGUAAGGGAACUAAAACAAAGAGAACUUCGGAAAGAAAAUCCCUCAUACCUUCUCUAAUUUAUUCACACCUUUCGCAUAUAUAUUCUUUCUUUUGCAGCAGAGCAAGACCAAACAUAUAGUGGACCUGAAAUGCAAAGGCAUCCAAAAUUACAAGUGUAUCAGAUUUUGUACGAAUACACUUUUAAUAGGAAAAAUAAAGUUGGUGUAUCUGAUGAUAAGUUUGUAGGUGAGAAGAAACACGUGGAAUACUUCGAAUCAAUCGGGCAUCUAAUUAGGAUGACUCCCCACAUCGACAACCAGAGGAUACUAAAGAAGAUUCUCCAUUUGAAGGAUGAUCAAUAACAAAAACAAACAACAAAGGUAGCUAGAUAUAUCUCUUCAUGAAAUCCCAAUAAAAUUAUACUAUAUAGAAUGUUUUUACUAACUACUAAUUUGAGAUGGCAAGCAACAUGAUCAGCAAAGUAAUACAUAAUCAAAUAACUUAUGCAAAAUUUGAGAAACAUAACAUUUACAUUGAAAUAUGAGCAUCAAGAACAUUAAUACUAUCAAGUUAUUGAAAAAGUAUUAACAGUUGAAAAACCUCCAUCUCACCUCACCAUCAUCCACCGCCUAAUCUGUCAAAGUGGAAACAGCAAAAACAACUCCCAACAGACCCUCAAUAGCCAAAGUGAUGGCAUGUGCUUCACUAGCAACCAAGAUAGUAGUAUUUGAUGCUUCAAUAUCUAAGCUCCAGUCAAUAUCCGACACUGGAAAAAGCUCAACAUGUCAAUAGACACUGCAUUCACGAUUAAUAUUGGAAACUACAGCGUUAAAAGGUUUAUUGCAAAAGAAAAAUGAAGACGAAUUGAAAGGUGUCGUGUCUCACAAUCCAAAGUCAUAUAUAUAGAUUUAAAUAAAUAAUGUGCUGAGAAUUUAGUCUCUCAUUAACCUUAACUGCUACUUUUCAUCUGAAACAGAUAAGAUUACAAAGAAAAUACCAGGCAGCCCUAGUCAAUCCCGGCGGCGAGAGGGCGGCGGGAGCCCUAGGCAACCCUAGUCGAUCCCGGCGAAGAGAGCCCUGGGUGGCCCUAAUCGAUCCUGGGGGUGAGAGGGCGAAGAGAGCCCUAAGCAGCCCUAGACGAUCCUGGCGACGAAAGGGCGAAGAGAGCCCUAGGCAGCCCCAAUCGAUCCCGGCGGCGAGAGGACGAGAGGGCGGCGAGAGCCCUAGGCAGCUCUAGUCGAUCUGGCGGCGAUUCAGCGGCAGCCUGGAUGUGGGCGAGAAGGCGACAGGAGAAAUAUGAUUUUAGCGUAGUGUGAAAUUUGAUUGUAGUUUAGGAUUUUGAAAUCUACAUGUAGCGAGGGAGAAUGAGAGUUUGAUAUUGGGGAAGCGGGAGAACAAAUUUCAGACUUAGUAUAAAUUUUUUGCAAGCUCUAAAAU
Molecule: long non-coding RNA, 2562 nt
Filed under: Salvia miltiorrhiza (redroot sage)
Lineage: Eukaryota; Viridiplantae; Streptophyta; Magnoliopsida; Lamiales; Lamiaceae
Description: long non-coding RNA (SMIL_LNC002152)
Source: RNAcentral